AUCGGCCCGGCCCAGGAGGGGCGGUCAGCGGCGAGUCAGGGCACCUCGAACCGGCUCCCGGCUCCCGGUCCGGCUGCCUGCCAGCGGCCGCUCAGGACAGAAGCGAGAUGCCUGCCUAGGCGUUUCUGGUUACAAUCACCUCACACACCGGCCUGCAUUCCGCCCCCCCAACCCCCAUCCUUACCACGAAGUCUGAAGUCACACCUUCUCCCUGGCUGGGAAGCUUUGCCAGGGUGGGGGCGAUGAGUGCCGGCCGAGGUUGUUAAUCUAAGGAGCUCCAGCAGGUCCGUAAAAAGGAAUAUUUUCGGUGGCCAGAAAAAUCAACAUUGAAUUAGAUGAAUAACCAGAGGCUUGAAAAGGUGAAGUGACAUCCCGGAGUGACACGGCUGUAGGGACAUCACCCAGUAGACUGAGUCUCACUCUGUCACUCAGGCUGGAAUGCAGUGGCAUUAUCUUGGCUUGCUGCAACCUCCACCUCUUGGGUUCCAGUGAUUCUCCUGCUUCAGCCUCCCAAGCAGCUGGGAUUACAGACUCCUUAAUGCCUAAUUGAACGGGAUUUUGAUUCACUGUUCUAAUAUUUCACAUUCAAUUUCAUGGUUGAAAACACCUUUCUCAUUUGCCACAGAGCAGUCGCAAUUCUGCAGUGAUUUACAGUUUUGCAAAAGUGGAGUCUAUUUCGUAAUUUAGGAUGGGUUAAAUAAAGGUAUUAUGCAUGUACAAAAUGGAGUAUGUUCUGACAUCUCUGAUCUCUCUCUCUCUCUCCAUUAAGUAAAAGCAAACCAAAAAACAGGUUACAAACUAGUUUGAAUACAUUGUCUUAAAAUGUCUGUAUGUUUUAUUAAAAUAACAAAUGCAUA
This is a long non-coding RNA of Symphalangus syndactylus (siamang), 857 nucleotides long. RefSeq lists it as uncharacterized. Lineage: Eukaryota; Metazoa; Chordata; Mammalia; Primates; Hylobatidae. The record is from RefSeq and is a predicted model, not a curated record.